Transfer RNA from Felis catus (domestic cat), 92 nucleotides. It matches the Rfam family "tRNA". From Rfam's summary of the family: Transfer RNA (tRNA) molecules are approximately 80 nucleotides in length. Lineage: Eukaryota; Metazoa; Chordata; Mammalia; Carnivora; Felidae. The record is from Rfam.
GCCUGGGUGGCUCAGUCGGUUAAGAGUCUGACUCUUCGUUUCGGCUCAGGUCAUGAUCUCACGGUGUGUGGGUUCAAGCCCCGCCUUGGGCU